This 706-nucleotide ribosomal RNA is filed under the name Crassostrea rhizophorae. RNAcentral's name for it is "partial 16S ribosomal RNA". It matches the Rfam family "Bacterial large subunit ribosomal RNA", at positions 1676 to 2800 of the family's 2925-position model. Lineage: Eukaryota; Metazoa; Mollusca; Bivalvia; Ostreida; Ostreidae. The record is from RNAcentral.
UUAUAGAAAUAUAGUAUGAAAAUUUAUUAAAAGGAACUCGGCAAAUUCAGGCCCCGCCUGUUUAACAAAAACAUCGCUAAAAGUAGUUGAUUUUUAGUAGUACCUGCCCAGUGCGUAUUAUCUUGUUAACGGCCGCCUUAGCGUGAGGGUGCUAAGGUAGCGAAAUUCCUUGCCUUUUAAUUGUAGGCCAGCAUGAAUGGUUUGACGAGGGCCUCACUGUCUCUUAGUUCUAUGUUGAAAUUGUAGUGUAGGUGAAGAUACCUUCAUAAAAAAGUAAGACAAAAAGACCCCGUGCAACUUUGAAAAUUAAGCUAGAUUAAAUGGCAAAAGAUUUUUAGGUGGGGCGCCAAAAGAGGAAACUAUAACCUCUGCUGUUUAAGCUAAUUCUUACUGGAGUUGACCUGACUUAAGUCGAUCAAAGGAGAAGUUACGCCGGGGAUAACAGGCCAAUUCUUUAGUAAAGCUCGUAUUAACUAAAGGGCUUGGCACCUCGAUGUUGAAUCAGGGAUUAUAGCUUCAAGGCGUAGAUGCUUUGAUUAGUAGGUCUGUUCGACCUUUGAAACCCUACGUGAUUUGAGUUCAGACCGGCGUAAGCCGGGUUGGUUUCUAUCUGCUUAAUUUAACAUUAUCUUAAUAUGUACGAAAGGACCGUUAGGAUGGGAAGGUGCGCCCAAUGUUAAAAAUAGUUCUAUUUAAUGCUAAAUGU